RNAcentral lists this ribosomal RNA (484 nucleotides) under uncultured bacterium. RNAcentral describes it as "partial 16S ribosomal RNA". It matches the Rfam family "Bacterial small subunit ribosomal RNA", at positions 30 to 507 of the family's 1533-position model. The record is from RNAcentral.
AUUGAACGCUGGCGGCAGGCCUAACACAUGCAAGUCGAGCGGAUGGAGGGAGCUUGCUCCUGGAUUCAGCGGCGGACGGGUGAGUAAUGCCUAGGAAUCUGCCUGGUAGUGGGGGAUAACGUCCGGAAACGGGCGCUAAUACCGCAUACGUCCUGAGGGAGAAAGUGGGGGAUCUUCGGACCUCACGCUAUCAGAUGAGCCUAGGUCGGAUUAGCUAGUUGGUGGGGUAAAGGCCUACCAAGGCGACGAUCCGUAACUGGUCUGAGAGGAUGAUCAGUCACAGUGGACCAGAGCCACGCUCGAGCCUCUUCGGGGAGGCGGCGGUGGGGAUUUUUGGACAAGGGGAGAAGGUCUGACCCCCCCUUGCGGGGUGUGUAAAGAAGUUUUUGGGAUUUUAAACCUUUUUAAUUGGGGAGAAAGGACAUAAAUUUAUUCCUUUGCUUUUUUCACGUCACCAAAAAAAAAACCCCCGCCUACCUGCGUC